AAUACUUCUGCGAAGCAUCUGCCAAGGAUGUUUUCAUUAAUCAAGAACGAAAGUUAGGGGAUCGAAGACGAUCAGAUACCGUCGUAGUCUUAACCAUAAACGAUGCCGACCAGCGAUUAGGAGACGUUGAAUACAAAACACCACCAUCGGUUGCGCGGUC
This 160-nucleotide ribosomal RNA is filed under the name Acanthamoeba castellanii. Its description in RNAcentral is "partial 18S ribosomal RNA". It matches the Rfam family "Eukaryotic small subunit ribosomal RNA", at positions 936 to 1096 of the family's 1831-position model. The record is from RNAcentral. Lineage: Eukaryota; Discosea; Longamoebia; Acanthamoebidae.